RNAcentral lists this ribosomal RNA (649 nucleotides) under Bacillus thuringiensis. RNAcentral describes it as "bacterial SSU rRNA". It matches the Rfam family "Bacterial small subunit ribosomal RNA", at positions 65 to 693 of the family's 1533-position model. Lineage: Bacteria; Bacillati; Bacillota; Bacilli; Caryophanales; Bacillaceae. The record is from RNAcentral.
AGCGAUGGAUUGAGAGCUUGCUCUCAAGAAGUUAGCGGCGGACGGGUGAGUAACACGUGGGUAACCUGCCCAUAAGACUGGGAUAACUCCGGGAAACCGGGGCUAAUACCGGAUAACAUUUUGAACUGCAUGGUUCGAAAUUGAAAGGCGGCUUCGGCUGUCACUUAUGGAUGGACCCGCGUCGCAUUAGCUAGUUGGUGAGGUAACGGCUCACCAAGGCAACGAUGCGUAGCCGACCUGAGAGGGUGAUCGGCCACACUGGGACUGAGACACGGCCCAGACUCCUACGGGAGGCAGCAGUAGGGAAUCUUCCGCAAUGGACGAAAGUCUGACGGAGCAACGCCGCGUGAGUGAUGAAGGCUUUCGGGUCGUAAAACUCUGUUGUUAGGGAAGAACAAGUGCUAGUUGAAUAAGCUGGCACCUUGACGGUACCUAACCAGAAAGCCACGGCUAACUACGUGCCAGCAGCCGCGGUAAUACGUAGGUGGCAAGCGUUAUCCGGAAUUAUUGGGCGUAAAGCGCGCGCAGGUGGUUUUCUUAAGUCUGAUGUGAAAGCCCACGGCUCAACCGUGGAGGGUCAUUGGAAACUGGGAGACUUGAGUGCAGAAGAGGAAAGUGGAAUUUCCAUGUGUAGCGGUGAAAUGCGUAC